Passer domesticus (house sparrow) is the source of this 511-nucleotide long non-coding RNA. RefSeq lists it as uncharacterized. The transcript has 3 exons. The record is from RefSeq and is a predicted model, not a curated record. NCBI's taxonomy places the organism in Eukaryota, Metazoa, Chordata, Aves, Passeriformes, Passeridae.
GAAUGACUAAAACCAGUAAUUAGAAUGUCUUCCCUUCUUGUAUGUGGCAGUCAUGAUUUAACGUCCAGGACAGAAACAAGCAUGACUGCAAUAGCAAAGGAGAGGUCAAGGAUUACACAAAAUCAUUUCUUGAGAUGACCAGACCACUUUGCUUUCAAGAAUGUCUAAGUGAGAAUACAUUGCAGCUGGUAGCACUAUUGAGAACAGUUGGAUAAUCCUUCAGUCUCCAGCACUGACAGAGCAGCUUCAAAGCAUUCCCUGCCUAUCUCUCAUCCUCGGUGUCGGGCUGUGCCGUAGGCGAUGUGACAGCUCAACAUAUGCGGCGUAGGUAGGAACGUCUGUAGAUGGUCAGAGCUGGAUUCUGUCUCAGGCAAUGCUCUAUGGAUUUGUGUGCACACACACAGAUUAGUUUCCUGCUUGGGCAGAGCAGUUGGACCAGAUGCCCUCCAGACAUCCCUUCCAACCUCUGCAAUUCAGUAGUUCUGGGACCAAUGUAGCAGUGAGCUGUAAG